RNAcentral lists this ribosomal RNA (459 nucleotides) under uncultured organism. Its description in RNAcentral is "partial 16S ribosomal RNA". It matches the Rfam family "Bacterial small subunit ribosomal RNA", at positions 330 to 797 of the family's 1533-position model. The record is from RNAcentral.
CGUACACUCCUACGGGAGGCAGCAGUGGGGAAUAUUGCACAAUGGGCGCAAGCCUGAUGCAGCGACGCCGCGUGGGGGAUGAAGGCCUUCGGGUUGUAAACUCCUUUCGCUAGGGACGAAGCUUUUUUGUGACGGUACCUAGAUAAGAAGCACCGGCUAACUACGUGCCAGCAGCCGCGGUAAUACGUAGGGUGCGAGCGUUGUCCGGAAUUACUGGGCGUAAAGGGCUCGUAGGUGGUUUGUCGCGUCGUCUGUGAAAUUCUGGGGCUUAACUCCGGGCGUGCAGGCGAUACGGGCAUAACUUGAGUGCUGUAGGGGUAACUGGAAUUCCUGGUGUAGCGGUGAAAUGCGCAGAUAUCAGGAGGAACACCGAUGGCGAAGGCAGGUUACUGGGCAGUUACUGACGCUGAGGAGCGAAAGCAUGGGUAGCGAACAGGAUUAGAUACCCCGGUAGUCCCA